AGGGUUCGAUUCUGGCUCAGGAUGAACGCUGCGACAGGCUUAACACAUGCAAGUCGAGGGCAGCAUAAAAGUAGCAAUACUUGGUGGCGACCGGCGCACGGGUGAGUAACGCGUAUGCAACCUACCUAUCAGAGGGGAAUAACCCGGCGAAAGUCGGACUAAUACCGCAUAAAACAGGGGCACCGCAUGGUGAUAUUUGUUAAAGAAAUUCGCUGAUAGAUGGGCAUGCGUUCCAUUAGGUAGUUGGUGAGGUAACGGCUCACUAAGCCGACGAUGGAUAGGGGAACUGAGAGGUUGGUCCCCCACACUGGUACUGAGACACGGACCAGACUCCUACGGGAGGCAGCAGUGAGGAAUAUUGGUCAAUGGGCGGGAGCCUGAACCAGCCAAAGUCGCGUGAAGGAAGAAGGAUCUAUGGUUCGUAAACUUCUUUUGCAGGGGAAUAAAGUGCAGGACGUGUCCUGUUUUGUACGUACCCUGAGAAUAAGGAUCGGCUAACUCCGUGCCAGCCGCCGC
RNAcentral lists this ribosomal RNA (516 nucleotides) under uncultured bacterium. Its description in RNAcentral is "bacterial SSU rRNA". It matches the Rfam family "Bacterial small subunit ribosomal RNA", at positions 8 to 518 of the family's 1533-position model. The record is from RNAcentral.